Molecule: long non-coding RNA, 373 nt
Filed under: Theobroma cacao (cacao)
Lineage: Eukaryota; Viridiplantae; Streptophyta; Magnoliopsida; Malvales; Malvaceae
Description: long non-coding RNA (TCAC_LNC006025)
Source: RNAcentral
GAUAUAAAAUUUACUUUACAGUGACUCGUGGGCCCACAAGGAACAAAAGUGCACAAAGGCAGUAAACUUACAAUUUUUGGAGUAGUAAAGCUGACUAUAGCCUUCGACGAUAUUACCUAUCUACACACUAUCCUGAGCCUAAUAUGGGUAGAAAUGAGGGUGGUGAGAUUAUAUAAUCCCAGUGAGUAAACAAAUACCAUCUAAAAUAUCUAAAGCCGAGUAAAUGGAGACAAUUAAAAUAAAUCAUCAUACUGUAAUUUCAUUACCUUUCAACUUAUUUCAACCAAAUAAACAACUAGGCUUAUGAUUUCCUGAAAAGCUUGGCUCGUGCCAAAAAUCAUUCUCAUACUCAGUUAUCAGGGAUGCCUUGAUC